AGAAUGGCGUCUCAGACCAAGGAAGUUAUUAUGCGGUGCAACACAAUACGUGUGUUUGUUAUAUUUACCAGAUAAAACAUACCAUGAGACCUGCGACGGACUAGAUAUUAGCAACACAGGCAGCAAACUUGUGUUUCAACCAAAUUUCAACAAGGCGAGAUGCAACUACAAUCGAUAUCAACCUUUUACAUUCUCAACUGACGGGAGCAGUGCUUGCGUGUAUAAAAAGUCAUUCUGUAAUGCAGAGGGUCAAUUACCUUUCAAUAAAGGAAGUUUUGAAAAUGACACAAGAUGUGGAUGCAACGUCUCGAAAGGGUACACAUUUGUCACAAAGCCAAGAAACAAGUGCUACUGCAUACCUUUAGAAGAAGACUGUUCCUGUUAUAAACCUACUUGUAAUAACAAAGGUAAUGAUUGUACUUCGACGGAAACCGUUAUAAUGAAUGCCACAUGUUCAAUGU
Long non-coding RNA from Mytilus trossulus (common blue mussel), 461 nucleotides. RefSeq lists it as uncharacterized. The transcript is spliced from 3 exons. Lineage: Eukaryota; Metazoa; Mollusca; Bivalvia; Mytilida; Mytilidae. The record is from RefSeq and is a predicted model, not a curated record.